Molecule: long non-coding RNA, 1204 nt
Organism: Vicia villosa (hairy vetch)
Lineage: Eukaryota; Viridiplantae; Streptophyta; Magnoliopsida; Fabales; Fabaceae
Exons: 3
Source: RefSeq, a predicted model, not a curated record
AAAAGGGCAUUUCCGUAAUUAACUAAAUAUAACACAAUAUUUUCACCUUUUUCAACAAGUGUUACAUUCUCAUUGGUCCAACUUAAAUUAAUCUACUUUCCCUCCAUAACACCUUUUGACCAAUACGUUUCAGAUCUGUGAACCCUAAACUACUCUCUAUCUCUUUCUCUGCUCAUCUUCAUCCCUUUGCAGAUCCGUAGCAAGCCCCGCCGGCGACUUCAGAUCGGUGCACCACCCUUUCUCCGCUCCGCCCCUUUUCCUUUAACUUUUCACCUCUAUCCCUCUCAUUUCACAAAUCUGUUUCUCUCUCCAAUAGCAUAUUUCUAUCUCUCUCGUCUCUUUCUCUCCAUACCCUAGAAUCUUUGCUACCGAAAUCAAUGGAACCGAAGAAGGUGAAUGUUGCAAAAUAUGUUUCCAAUUUUUCUUCAUAUAGAGGGAUUAUUUGUCUAUGGUGGUCGUUGCCCUGCUUGCGUAAUCUAAUGGUAUAUUUAUUUCCUCUGUUUGUGUGGAGCAACAAUAAGUGGUUUACGAGGUUGCAGGUUGAUGAAGAAGCUCAUUAUUUGUCUAAUCUACAAAAGCAUUUCUUUAUGAAAGUUUAAACUGUUCAUCAUCUUCGAUGGGUAGCAGUAUAUUUUGUUUCAAGGUUGUCUAAGGUAUGUUCUAUUCUCAAUUUAUUUGCAGAGAAAUAUUCAUAAAUUGUGAGAUAAACUUAGAUCUAGGGUUUUUUUAUAAACUUACCUACUUCUUCCAUUUUCAGCAAAAGAUUUUAUAGGUUCUUUCUCUGCAAAUCCAGGUACAAUCCAUGGCACAAGAUACAAUGUUGUUAAACUCCCAAAUAUUGAUUUUAAUUUCUUAAAUUUUGAUGGAGAUUCAAGCUUCCUAUCUCAUUUGUGGUACUGAUGACUCCAGCUAAAAAGAGACUUAUGAGAGGUUUUAAUAAUUGCAACAAGAUCCACCUACAGAGAGAAGUGAUGCUCUUUAGGAUAACAAUAUAUUGUGGAAUGCUAUCAUAUUUGGGUGAUUUAGAUUGAUAAUUGUAUAAAAGUUGCAUAUGAUUAUGUAUACUUGUAUAAUUUAGUCACUUUUGUUUUAUUUUAUUUCACUUUUCCAUGGUGUUAGUAUGCAGAGAUAAGCAAUUUCUGAUUUCUUGUCUGCUUUGGAGUACAGUCGGCUUUGUAGUACAAUCCUGAUGAUACUCUAUGGG